Molecule: non-coding RNA, 1482 nt
Organism: Macaca mulatta (Rhesus monkey)
Lineage: Eukaryota; Metazoa; Chordata; Mammalia; Primates; Cercopithecidae
Source: the annotation of a RefSeq genome assembly
GCUGGCUGAUGUAGCUCACUGAUAUCUGUGUAGACAGGGAGCUGUGACAAGAGCAAGAGGUCAGAACACAUCCAGACUCCUUAAGGGAAGUUCUCUUUCUGUUUCUGACACUUUUCAAAGCCAGGGACUUGUCCAGUCCAACCUCCCCACUGCUCCUAGGUCCUGAGGCUCAGCGCCCUUGGCUUCUGUCCGCCCUGCUCAAGGUCCUGCAGCGUUGCCACUGCUCAGCCAUGCUCCUGCUGCUCGUCCCAGUGCUCGAGGUGAUUUUUACUCUGGGAGGAACCAGAGCCCAGUCUGUGACCCAGCUUGACAGCCAAGUCCCUGUCUUUGAAGAAGCCCCUGUGCUGCUGAGGUGCAACUACUCAUCAUCGUCUGUUUCAGUGUAUCUCUUCUGGUAUGUGCAAUACCCCAACCAAGGACUCCGGCUUCUCCUGAAGUAUUUAUCAGGACCCACCCUGGUUAAAGGCAUCAAUGGUUUUGAGGCUGAAUUUAAGAAGAGUGAAACUUCCUUCCACUUGAGGAAACCCUCAGCCCAUAUAAGCGACACGGCUGAGUACUUCUGUGCUGUGAGUGACACAGUGCCUGAGACUGCAGAGGAGCUGAACACAAACCUCCUGAGAUGCUGAGACUUUCUGUGACUCAAGAACUCAACCUGUGGAGCUUUCAAGAAGGUCUCUUUUUUUCUGUGCCCCUUUUGAAGGCACAUAGGGCAGGGUAGGCCGAGCCCUUGGUAGGAUUUGUCUCCUGAAUAAUUGCUCCAAUGUCAAUGUCGUGCCACAUUCAGAUACGCUUUGUCCCACAUGGAGGUUUACUGAUGAAUUUCUUCAGUGGGGACCUCCUCCACACUCUGAAGAAAGUACAUCCUAAGGUGUCAGAGCUCCUAAAUAAAAGGCAACAACAUUUUUAUAAAAAAUUAUUUCUAGCAUUCAUCAUGAUUAGUAUUGCCUCAGGAGUUAACUUGUGAAUAACUGAUGUAAUAAUCUGAUUAGAAUGUUAGCUAAAAGCUGUGCAGGAUGGAUUCUCAAUUAGGGCAACCCAUGCAGCACAGAUUCUCAGUGUACUGCAGAUUCUCAACCUAGAUUUGAAGCUUAACUUCCAGCACAUACAUAGUAUCCCACUGUGUGGUAUUGACAUGUUUAAAGUAAAUUAGACAUAAUAUCAAGAUUUUUAAUCUUGUAAGCAUUAUGCAAAGCAGGAAAUUAAACAUGAAUCUUAAUACAAUAUUGAAAAACUAAGCCAUCAAGUUGUGAUCUUUUUUAAAACAGCUAUUCCAGUGAUUUUCAAGUUCCAAAUCUGAGGGAUAAAAAUGUAACCAAUAUAAAGAUACAAAAUACACUAGAUUCAACUACUUUAAAAACUACUUUAAAACUCUGAGGCACUUCAUUUUAAGAGAUUACAUAGAUUUAUUUUACAAAAUUACACAACAAAAAUUUCCGGUUACAUUAUCAGAGCAUGUAUUAAUUCUAAUGGGUGUCUCCAAGA